Molecule: ribosomal RNA, 841 nt
Filed under: uncultured organism
Description: bacterial SSU rRNA
Rfam family: Bacterial small subunit ribosomal RNA
Source: RNAcentral
AGGAAUAAGCAUCGGCUAACUACGUGCCAGCAGCCGCGGUAAGACGUAGGAUGCAAGCGUUAUCCGGAAUUAUUGGGCAUAAAGAGUUCGUAGGCGGUUUGUUAAGUUGGAUGUUAAAUUUUUGAGCUCAACUUAAAAAAAGUAUCCAAAACUGGCAAACUGGAGACUGGUAGAGGUAAGUGGAAUUCUGCAUGUAGGGGUAAUAUCCGUAGAUAUGCAGAGGAACACCAAAAGCGAAGGCAGCUUACUGGACCAGUUCUGACGCUCAAGAACGAAAGCGUGGGUAGCGAACGGGAUUAGAUACCCCGGUAGUCCACGCCCUAAACGAUGAACACUAGGUAUUGGAGGUCUCGACCCCUUCAGUGCCGACGCAAAUGCAAUAAGUGUUCCGCCUGGGUAGUACGAGCGCAAGCUUAAAACUCAAAGGAAUAGACGGGGACCCACACAAGCGGUGGAGCAUCUGGUUUAAUUCGACAAUAAGCGAGGAACCUUACCAAGGCUUGACAUCCCGAGAAGAUCGCCGAAAGGUGAUUGUGCCGUUAGGAACUCGGUGACAGGUGCUGCAUGGUUGUCGUCAGCUCGUGCCUUGAGGUGUUCGGUUAAGUCCGUGAACGAGCGCAACCCUUGUCUCAAGUUGCAUAUUUCUUGAGAGACUGCCGGUUUCAAAUCGGAGGAAGGUAAGGAUGACGUCAAAUCAGCAUGGCCCUUAUGUCUUGGGCGACACAGGUGCUACAAUGGCCGGUACAAUGGGCAGCGAAGGAGCAAUCUGGAGCAAAUCCUCAAAACCGGUCCAAGUUCGAAUUGAAGGCUGCAACUCGCCUUCAUGAGGUGGAAUCGCUAG